RNAcentral lists this ribosomal RNA (435 nucleotides) under uncultured bacterium. RNAcentral describes it as "bacterial SSU rRNA". It matches the Rfam family "Bacterial small subunit ribosomal RNA", at positions 958 to 1392 of the family's 1533-position model. The record is from RNAcentral.
AACGCGAAGAACCUUACCUAAGCUUGACAUCCUUUUGACCGAUGCCUAAUCGCAUCUUUCCCUUCGGGGACAGAAGUGACAGGUGGUGCAUGGUUGUCGUCAGCUCGUGUCGUGAGAUGUUGGGUUAAGUCCCGCAACGAGCGCAACCCUUGCCUUUAGUUGCCAUCAUUAAGUUGGGCACUCUAGAGGGACUGCCAGGGAUAACCUGGAGGAAGGUGGGGAUGACGUCAAAUCAUCAUGCCCCUUAUGCUUAGGGCUACACACGUGCUACAAUGGGUGGUACAGAGGGCAGCCAAGUCGUGAGGCCGAGCUAAUCCCUUAAAGCCAUUCUCAGUUCGGAUUGUAGGCUGAAACUCGCCUACAUGAAGCUGGAGUUACUAGUAAUCGCAGAUCAGAAUGCUGCGGUGAAUGCGUUCCCGGGUCUUGUACACACCG